RNAcentral lists this ribosomal RNA (514 nucleotides) under uncultured organism. RNAcentral describes it as "bacterial SSU rRNA". It matches the Rfam family "Bacterial small subunit ribosomal RNA", at positions 48 to 539 of the family's 1533-position model. The record is from RNAcentral.
CUAACACAUGCAAGUCGAGCGCGAACGGUCACUUCGGUGACUCAGUAGAGCGGCGCACGGGUGAGUAACACGUGAGUGAUCUGCCCUGGAGCUCGGAAUAACCUCCCGAAAGGGUGGCUAAUACCGGAUAAGCUCACAGAGCUACGGCUCAGGGGGAAAAGGAGGGGAUCUCGGACCUUCCACUUCAGGAUGAGCUCGCGGACCAUUAGAUCGUUGGUGGGGUAACGGCCUACCAAGUCGAAGAUGGUUAGCUGGUCUGAGAGGACGAUCAGCCACACUGGAACUGAGACACGGUCCAGACUCCUACGGGAGGCAGCAGUGGGGAAUCUUGCGCAAUGGGCGAAAGCCUGACGCAGCCAUGCCGCGUGAGCGAAGAAGGCCUUCGGGUCGUAAAGCUCUGUCCAGAGGGACCGAAAUCCAUCGGGUGCUAAUCAACCCGAUGCUGACGGUACCUCUGAAGAAAGCACCGGUUAAACUCCGUGCCAGCAGCCGCGGUAAUACGGAGGGUGCAAGC